This 181-nucleotide ribosomal RNA is filed under the name uncultured bacterium. RNAcentral's name for it is "partial 16S ribosomal RNA". It matches the Rfam family "Bacterial small subunit ribosomal RNA", at positions 1320 to 1500 of the family's 1533-position model. The record is from RNAcentral.
AUGAAGCUGGAUUCGCUAGUAAUCGCGCAUCAGCCACGGCGCGGUGAAUACGUUCCCGGGCCUUGUACACACCGCCCGUCACACCAUGAGAGUUGGGAAUACCCGAAGCCUGUGAGCUAACUUAUAGAGGCAGCAGUCGAAGGUAGAAUCAAUGAUUGGGGUGAAGUCGUAACAAGGUAAC